UCACCGGGUGAAAAGUUUGCUU
Molecule: microRNA, 22 nt
Filed under: Parasteatoda tepidariorum (common house spider)
Lineage: Eukaryota; Metazoa; Arthropoda; Arachnida; Araneae; Theridiidae
Description: pte-miR-35g-3p
Gene: pte-miR-35g-3p
Source: miRBase by way of RNAcentral